RNAcentral lists this ribosomal RNA (1346 nucleotides) under uncultured bacterium. Its description in RNAcentral is "partial 16S ribosomal RNA". It matches the Rfam family "Bacterial small subunit ribosomal RNA", at positions 28 to 1381 of the family's 1533-position model. The record is from RNAcentral.
GACGAACGCUGGCGGCGUGCUUAACACAUGCAAGUCGAACGGAAAGGCCCUGCUUUUGUGGGGUGCUCGAGUGGCGAACGGGUGAGUAACACGUGAGUAACCUGCCCUUGACUUUGGGAUAACUUCGGGAAACUGGGACUAAUACCGGAUAGGAGCUCCUGCUGCAUGGUGGGGGUUGGAAAGUUUCGGCGGUUGGGGAUGGACUCGCGGCUUAUCAGCUUGUUGGUGGGGUAGUGGCUUACCAAGGCUUUGACGGGUAGCCGGCCUGAGAGGGUGACCGGCCACAUUGGGACUGAGAUACGGCCCAGACUCCUACGGGAGGCAGCAGUGGGGAAUAUUGCACAAUGGGCGGAAGCCUGAUGCAGCAACGCCGCGUGCGGGAUGACGGCCUUCGGGUUGUAAACCGCUUUCGCCUGUGACGAAGCGUGAGUGACGGUAAUGGGUAAAGAAGCACCGGCUAACUACGUGCCAGCAGCCGCGGUGAUACGUAGGGUGCGAGCGUUGUCCGGAUUUAUUGGGCGUAAAGGGCUCGUAGGUGGUUGAUCGCGUCGGAAGUGUAAUCUUGGGGCUUAACCCUGAGCGUGCUUUCGAUACGGGUUGACUUGAGGAAGGUAGGGGAGAAUGGAAUUCCUGGUGGAGCGGUGGAAUGCGCAGAUAUCAGGAGGAACACCAGUGGCGAAGGCGGUUCUCUGGGCCUUUCCUGACGCUGAGGAGCGAAAGCGUGGGGAGCGAACAGGCUUAGAUACCCUGGUAGUCCACGCUGUAAACGGUGGGUACUAGGUGUGGGGUCCAUUCCACGGGUUCCGUGCCGUAGCUAACGCUUUAAGUACCCCGCCUGGGGAGUACGGCCGCAAGGCUAAAACUCAAAGGAAUUGACGGGGCCCCGCACAAGCGGCGGAGCAUGCGGAUUAAUUCGAUGCAACGCGUAGAACCUUACCUGGGUUUGACAUGGAUCGGGAGUGCUCAGAGAUGGGUGUGCCUCUUUUGGGGUCGGUUCACAGGUGGUGCAUGGCUGUCGUCAGCUCGUGUCGUGAGAUGUUGGGUUAAGUCCCGCAACGAGCGCAACCCUUGUUCACUGUUGCCAGCACGUUAUGGUGGGGACUCAGUGGAGACCGCCGGGGUCAACUCGGAGGAAGGUGGGGAUGACGUCAAGUCAUCAUGCCCCUUAUGUCCAGGGCUUCACGCAUGCUACAAUGGCUGGUACAGAGAGUGGCGAGCCUGUGAGGGUGAGCGAAUCUCGGAAAGCCGGUCUCAGUUCGGAUUGGGGUCUGCAACUCGACCUCAUGAAGUCGGAGUCGCUAGUAAUCGCAGAUCAGCAACGCUGCGGUGAAUACGUUCCCGGGGCU